GAGACUAUACUUUCAGGGAUCAUUUCUAUAGUGGUCAACUAGAGAAGUUUCUCUUCAACGACCUCAUCGUGCUUGGAGUGGCGAGAUUG
Small nucleolar RNA from Ochotona princeps (American pika), 89 nucleotides. Its record names the gene U3. It matches the Rfam family "Small nucleolar RNA U3". Rfam says of the family: Small nucleolar RNAs (snoRNAs) are involved in the processing and modification of rRNA in the nucleolus. There are two main classes of snoRNAs: the box C/D class, and the box H/ACA class. U3 snoRNA is a member of the box C/D class. The record is from Ensembl. Lineage: Eukaryota; Metazoa; Chordata; Mammalia; Lagomorpha; Ochotonidae.